RNAcentral lists this transfer RNA (76 nucleotides) under Atopobium sp. oral taxon 416. Its description in RNAcentral is "tRNA-Gly". It matches the Rfam family "tRNA". From Rfam's summary of the family: Transfer RNA (tRNA) molecules are approximately 80 nucleotides in length. The record is from RNAcentral. RNAcentral also lists the same sequence under 1 other name. Lineage: Bacteria; Bacillati; Actinomycetota; Coriobacteriia; Coriobacteriales; Atopobiaceae.
GCGGCGAUAGUUCAAUUGGUAGAGCCUUAGCCUUCCAAGCUAAUUGUUGCGGGUUCGAGUCCCGUUCGCCGCUCCA